Molecule: ribosomal RNA, 301 nt
Filed under: uncultured bacterium
Lineage: Bacteria
Description: partial 16S ribosomal RNA
Rfam family: Bacterial small subunit ribosomal RNA
Source: RNAcentral
CAGCCGCCGGGAAUACAGAGGGUGCAAGCGUUAAUCGGAAUUACUGGGCGUAAAGCGCGCGUAGGUGGUUUGUUAAGUUGGAUGUGAAAGCCCCGGGCUCAACCUGGGAACUGCAUCCAAAACUGGCAAGCUAGAGUACGGUAGAGGGUGGUGGAAUUUCCUGUGUAGCGGUGAAAUGCGUAGAUAUAGGAAGGAACACCAGUGGCGAAGGCGACCACCUGGACUGAUACUGACACUGAGGUGCGAAAGCGUGGGGAGCAAACAGGAUUAGAUACCCGCGUAGUCCCUGUCUCUUAUACAC